RNAcentral lists this transfer RNA (72 nucleotides) under Marmota marmota marmota (Alpine marmot). It matches the Rfam family "tRNA". Rfam says of the family: Transfer RNA (tRNA) molecules are approximately 80 nucleotides in length. Their secondary structure includes four short double-helical elements and three loops (D, anti-codon, and T loops). RNAcentral also lists the same sequence under 1 other name. Lineage: Eukaryota; Metazoa; Chordata; Mammalia; Rodentia; Sciuridae. The record is from Rfam by way of RNAcentral.
UGGGUUGUGGCUCAGUGGUAGAGUGCUUGCCUGGCAUGUUGGAGGCACUGGGUUCUAUCCUCAGCACCACAC